Molecule: unclassified non-coding RNA, 402 nt
Filed under: soil metagenome
Description: partial contains 5.8S ribosomal RNA, internal transcribed spacer 2, and large subunit ribosomal RNA
Rfam family: 5.8S ribosomal RNA (bases 1-121)
Source: RNAcentral
GAUGAAGAACGCAGCGAAAUGCGAUAAGUAAUGUGAAUUGCAGAAUUCAGUGAAUCAUCGAAUCUUUGAACUCACCUUGCGCCCUUUGGCUAUUCCGAAGGGCAUGCCUGUUUGAGUAUCGUGAACACCUCAACUCUCAUGGUUUGCCAUGAUGAGCUUGGACUUUGGGGGUUUUGCUGGCCUUUGGUCGGCUCCUCUCAAACGGAUCAGCUUUCCAGUGUUUGGUGGCGUCACGGGUGUGAUAACUAUCUACGCCUGUGGUUUUCUGCCAGAUAACCUUCAGCGAUGGAGGUUCGCUGGGGCUCAUAAAUGUCUCUCUUCAGUGGAGACAGCUUUUUGGACGUUUGAUCUCAAAUCAGGUAGGACUACCCGCUGAACUUAAGCAUAUCAAUAAGCGGAGGA